RNAcentral lists this ribosomal RNA (253 nucleotides) under uncultured bacterium. RNAcentral's name for it is "partial 16S ribosomal RNA". It matches the Rfam family "Bacterial small subunit ribosomal RNA", at positions 524 to 776 of the family's 1533-position model. The record is from RNAcentral.
UACGGAGGGUGCAAGCGUUGUCCGGAAUCACUGGGCGUAAAGGGCGCGUAGGCGGCUCAUGAAGGCUGUGGUGAAAGUCCGGGGCUCAACCUCGGAUCGGCCGUGGCGACUCGUGGGCUGGAGCACUGUAGAGGCGGGUGGAAUUCCGGGUGUAGCGGUGGAAUGCGUAGAGAUCCGGAAGAACACCGGUGGCGAAGGCGGUCUGCUGGGGUGAGGCUGACACUGAUGCGCGACAGCGUGGGGAGCAAACAGG